Molecule: small RNA, 27 nt
Filed under: Bombyx mori (domestic silkworm)
Lineage: Eukaryota; Metazoa; Arthropoda; Insecta; Lepidoptera; Bombycidae
Description: piRNA piR-bmo-1662063
Source: RNAcentral
UAAAGGGCAGUUCUAUGAGGUAGCGAA